AUCUACUGUUAGCCCAUUUCCUCUGUUCACACAGACUUUGGAAAGGGUUGCCACAUCUCUGAAUAAAUUGGAUCUGAAGCUUUCAGGAACAUACUGUGUCUAACUAUAGAAGGUGUUUCAUCACAGUGACAGAAAAUGAACAAAGACCGAUGGGCAAUGUGGCUGUAGCUCAAACAGGAUGUGGCACAGAGUUUGACGGCUGACAUUCCACAUUUUAUGGACAUUCACAUAUCCGAGAAUCUACCACUCACUAGAGGAUAUUUCUUAAUGUUGGUAUUUUAUUUUUGAGAAUUACUAAGACUGGGAACACAUUAGUACCUCUGAAAAUCCCAAUCGUAAAGUAGUUUCCAGAAGAAAAUGAAAGUCAUCAUUAAAGAAAAUAGUUCUGAGCAUAAUGCCUCUGUCAUGUAGGAAUAAAGAUGCAGCAAGCAGAGGAUACUUUUUUGAUAAUAAAAAUACUUCUAAAAACCAAACAUUUCUGAUUAUGAUGAGAAAAUAUUCUCUGGAUAGUUAGUCUUUCAUUUUUAAAUAGCUUUCAAGAAAAUAAAAGCUUCUCCUGACUCAAAA
Long non-coding RNA from Peromyscus eremicus (cactus mouse), 567 nucleotides. RefSeq lists it as uncharacterized. NCBI's taxonomy places the organism in Eukaryota, Metazoa, Chordata, Mammalia, Rodentia, Cricetidae. The transcript is spliced from 2 exons. The record is from RefSeq and is a predicted model, not a curated record.